GAUCUUCGUUGCACUCUGCACUUUUCGAGUCGGUCGACGCCAACUUCGGCGACUGCGCAGAGCAACAGAUGGCGGAGGAGAAAUACCCUUCCUCUCCAUAUCAUCUCUACCGAGAUGCCGAAGCAUUCGUGCCUGCGGAAACCCAUCGGUGCUCCGUGUGUCUGUGCAUCAAAUUUGUAAUCUUUGUUUGAUGUUCUAUUUUGUUUUGGAUUCGAGCAAGAAAGAAAGAAAUGCACGAACUAUAUCACAAGGACAAAGGCGGUUGAUUAUCUUCAAGUUAAUCAGGAAAUUAUGCAUUCUAAAAGGCAUAUUUCCGCGAGAACCAAAGAGGACGGUGGAGGGGAACCAGAAAAUUUACUAUCGCAUGAAGGAUGUCAUGUUCCUUGCGCACGAGCCUCUGCUUCAUAAGUUGAGAAACAAUGAAACGCCUGCAAGCAGCAGCUAAAAACAAGUGUUACCAAUGCCUCUAGAAAAUCAAGAUCUAAAUGUUCCUCAGGUUCUUUUGGUUGAAGGAAUAGUUGAUAAGACAGAAGCUAACGAAGCUGCUGAAAGGAAUCGAAAGUGUAUUACAGCCCAUGAUGCUUGAGAAGCAGUACCAUGAUGAAUUGAACAUGGAGCUUCGAGGAAUAACAUACUCUUCUCUGGCAAAUGUGAACUUGGAUAACAUAGUAGACAAUGGCAAUGAAGACUGUUACUUGUGCGGAAGAACCCAACGACCUUUCACAGAUCAGUCAAGAAAGGAAAAAGGAUAAGGUUAAAGCUUUUGCAUGGGCGGGAGAAAAAUGCAGAAGCCAGAAAAGAGCUUUGAUUUGUUCUGCUAAAUAUACUUACUGCCUGUGGCUCCAUAACAAGUCCCCUUCUCAGCUUUGGCAAAGAUUUUUCCAUAGUAUCAAUAAGUUAUAACAAGAACGAUAGCUCGACACAAAUGCUACUUGUUUUAGAUCAUCUUUUUCAUUAUGUUUUUCAUGGAGAUGCCAGUGACUGUAUUCUAUGCAAAAUCUGUAAUAGAGAUUUAUAACAUUUUGCUGUCCUAAAAUUCAAAUUGACAA
Long non-coding RNA from Zingiber officinale, 1049 nucleotides. RefSeq lists it as uncharacterized. The transcript is spliced from 5 exons. The record is from RefSeq and is a predicted model, not a curated record. NCBI's taxonomy places the organism in Eukaryota, Viridiplantae, Streptophyta, Magnoliopsida, Zingiberales, Zingiberaceae.